Molecule: ribosomal RNA, 451 nt
Filed under: uncultured bacterium
Lineage: Bacteria
Description: partial 16S ribosomal RNA
Rfam family: Bacterial small subunit ribosomal RNA
Source: RNAcentral
GAUGAACGCUGGCGGUGUGCCUAAUACAUGCAAGUCGAACGAAGCCUUCGGGCUUAGUGGCGGACGGGUGAGUAACACGUUGGUACCUACCUCGAAGUGGGGAAUAACUGGCCGAAAGGUCGGCUAAUACCGCAUGUGAUCGCAAGAUCAAAGUCGUAAGACGCUUCGAGGGGGGCCUGCGUCCCAUUAGCUUGUUGGUAGUGUAAUGGACUACCAAGGCGACGAUGGGUAGCUGGAUUGAGAGGUUGACCAGCCACACUGGGACUGAGAUACGGCCCAGACUCCUACGGGAGGCAGCAGUGGGGAAUAUUGGACAAUGGGCGCAAGCCUGAUCCAGCCAUGCCGCGUGAGUGAUGAAGGCCUUAGGGUUGUAAAGCUCUUUCGCUGGGGAAGAUAAUGACGGUACCCAGAGAAGAAGCCCCGGCUAACUUCGUGCCAGCCGCCGCAGUAA